Columba livia (rock pigeon) is the source of this 1018-nucleotide long non-coding RNA. RefSeq lists it as uncharacterized. The record is from RefSeq and is a predicted model, not a curated record. Lineage: Eukaryota; Metazoa; Chordata; Aves; Columbiformes; Columbidae. The transcript is spliced from 8 exons.
CCACAAAGCAGGAGCAGUGAUGUCUUUUCUAUCUGUGUAUAUAUAAAUAUAAAAAGAAGAGCUUCCUACAAACAGAGGUUCAUUGUAGGAUCUGUAUAUGAAGCAAGGCUUACCCUGAGUUUGUCCUGACCUACCUAGAGGAACUAAAUGAAAGAGAGGAGGUGACCCAGACAGAAAACCGCAUUCACCAUGGGGCCUGGUCUGCAGCUCAUCAGGAGAUAGACAGCAGCUCAGCAGAAGAGGUUCUGAAAAAAAAAAAAUGUCAGCAACCCCAAUCAGAAACAACUUUCAGGACCUUUGGACGCCUGUUUAAUGCCUGCGGAUCCCCUAGGGGAGACUCCACAGCUGACAGUGGCACUGGUGAGGAAACCAGAAGAGAAACAUCCUAAGGCCUCAGCUCAAAGGGUGAAAACACUGGAGUAAAUGACGCAGCUUUACUGAUGAACAGAAGGAAAAUGAAUCUUAUAUUGUACUCAAAAAACAUGGCCUCCUACACCAUUCACAACUAGCUGUGGAAGUAAAAGGCAAGAACUGCUGGAGCCAAAAUUUCUGUGGGCAGAUGUUCUACUACUUUGGGAGAAGAAAAAAAAUUAAGGAGCUGGAGGAAGAUAUAGAAGAAAAAAGUGACAAUAUGGAAAAGUACUUAAAUCAUAAUUUCCGCUAUUUCCUGCCAAGAAUCCCGCAAAUGAAUUUGAAGAAAGUUAAUGAGCUAGUCUAAUGAUGGAUUGCUUUCAAGACUGAUCUCAAGGAACUUUCUUCCCAUCCAGUGCAUGAAUCAUCGCCAUUCAGCAGUGGACUGUUGGACAGACAGGGGCCAAGUGCGUAUUAUCUGGCUGAGUGCAAAGACUGACAAGUUUCCUUAGUGAAGGGACAAACUGUUCUGAGAGAUGCCGGCUUGAAAAGCCAUUGAUAGUGUCAUGGAUUGUAAAUGAGCAAUAUGAACAACCAGGAAAGGAGCAUGAAGGAAGAGCUGGAAUCUGGAACAUUGCUGAAGGAAUGACUAUGGACACUGCAGGUA